GACGUACGCUGGCGGCGUGCUUAACACAUGCAAGUCGAACGGUAAGGCCCCAGCUUGCUGGGGUACACGAGUGGCGAACGGGUGAGUAACACGUGGGUGACCUGCCCCGCACUUCGGGAUAAGCCUGGGAAACUGGGUCUAAUACCGGAUAGGACCGCACCGUGAGGGUGUGGUGGAAAGUUUUUCGGUGUGGGAUGGGCCCGCGGCCUAUCAGCUUGUUGGUGGGGUAAUGGCCUACCAAGGCGGCGACGGGUAGCCGGCCUGAGAGGGUGGACGGCCACAUUGGGACUGAGACACGGCCCAGACUCCUACGGGAGGCAGCAGUGGGGAAUAUUGCACAAUGGGCGGAAGCCUGAUGCAGCGACGCCGCGUGGGGGAUGACGGCCUUCGGGUUGUAAACUCCUUUCACCAUCGACGAAGGUUUUCUGACGGUAGAUGGAGAAGAAGCACCGGCUAACUACGUG
RNAcentral lists this ribosomal RNA (464 nucleotides) under uncultured bacterium. RNAcentral's name for it is "partial 16S ribosomal RNA". It matches the Rfam family "Bacterial small subunit ribosomal RNA", at positions 28 to 507 of the family's 1533-position model. The record is from RNAcentral.